CGAGUGCUUAGCUGCAUGGACUGACACGUCUGAAGAAUGUUCUGGAACUCUGAGAUCUCCACCUGCUCAGAGAAAAUGUCACGAAAUUCACAUAAGUGUGUUCUCAGAAAACCAGCUUUCAGAAGGACGCUUUAGGUCCCACCCCAAAACACCAGGCUCCUGAGACUUCCCAUUUAGCGCUCCACCAGGAAACAAGUCAUGUCAACAUCGGAUGGUUUUUUCAUGAAGCCCUAAGCAACGCCCCCAGUGCUUGACAGACAUGUAGCUUGGUCUUUG
Molecule: long non-coding RNA, 276 nt
Organism: Alosa sapidissima (American shad)
Lineage: Eukaryota; Metazoa; Chordata; Actinopteri; Clupeiformes; Clupeidae
Exons: 3
Source: RefSeq, a predicted model, not a curated record